ACGCUGGCGGCACGCCUUAUACAUGCAAGUCGAACGAAGUAGCAAUACUUAGUGGCAGACGGGUGAGUAACAUGUGGGUAUCUUCCCUUUGGUGAGGAAUAACACGAGGAAACUUGUGCUAAUACCUCAUAAGUCUUUACAGAGAAAGCUUUAUGCGCCAAUGGAUGAGCCCGCACUUGAUUAGUUUGUUGGCAGGGUAAUGGCCUACCAAGACUUUGAUCAAUAGCUGAUCUGAGAGGAUGAUCAGCCACAUUGGGACUGAGACACGGCCCAAACUCCUACGGGAGGCAGCAGUAGGGAAUAUUGCACAAUGGAGGAAACUCUGAUGCAGCGAUGCCGCGUGAGUGAAGAAGGCCCUUGGGUUGUAAAGCUCUUUCGUCGGGGAAGAAAAUGACUGUACCCGAAUAAGAAGGUCCGGCUAACUUCGUGCCAGCAGCCGCGGUAAUACGAAGGGACCUAGCGUAGUUCGGAAUUACUGGGCUUAAAGAGUUCGUAGGUGGUUAAAAAAGUUGGUGGUGAAAUCCCAGAGCUUAACUCUGGAACUGCCAUCAAAACUUUUUAGCUAGAGUAUGAUAGAGGAAAGCAGAAUUUCUAGUGUAGAGGUGAAAUUCGUAGAUAUUAGAAAGAAUACCAAUUGCGAAGGCAGCUUUCUGGAUCAUUACUGACGCUGAGGAACGAAAGCAUGGGUAGCGAAGAGGAUUAGAUACCCUCGUAGUCCAUGCCGUAAACGAUGUGUGUUAGACGUUGGAAAUUUAUUUUCAGUGUCGCAGCGAAAGCAUUAAACACACCGCCUGGGGAGUACGACCGCA
RNAcentral lists this ribosomal RNA (809 nucleotides) under uncultured Pelagibacteraceae bacterium. RNAcentral describes it as "bacterial SSU rRNA". It matches the Rfam family "Bacterial small subunit ribosomal RNA", at positions 33 to 890 of the family's 1533-position model. Lineage: Bacteria; Pseudomonadati; Pseudomonadota; Alphaproteobacteria; Candidatus Pelagibacterales; Candidatus Pelagibacteraceae. The record is from RNAcentral.